This 484-nucleotide ribosomal RNA is filed under the name uncultured bacterium. RNAcentral's name for it is "partial 16S ribosomal RNA". It matches the Rfam family "Bacterial small subunit ribosomal RNA", at positions 30 to 507 of the family's 1533-position model. The record is from RNAcentral.
AUUGAACGCUGGCGGCGGGCCUAACACAUGCAAGUCGAGCGGAUGAAGGGAGCUUGCUCCUGGAUUCAGCGGCGGACGGGUGAGUAAUGCCUAGGAAUCUGCCCGGCAGUGGGGGAUAACGUCCGGAAACGGGCGCUAAUACCGCAUACGACCUGAGGGAGAAAGUGGGGGAUCUUCGGACCUCACGCUAUCAGAUGAGCCUCGGUCGGAUUAGCUAGUUGGUGGGGUAAAGGCCUACCAAGGCGACGAUCCGUAACUGGACUGAGAGGAUGAUCAGUCACACUGGAACUGAGACACGGUCCAGACGCCUACGGGAGGCAGCAGUGGGGAAUAUUGGACAAUGGGCGAAAGCCUGAUCCAGCCAUGGCGCGUGUGUGAAGAAGGUCUUCGGAUGGUAAAGAACUUUAAGUUGGGAGGAAGGGCAGUAGGUUAAGACCUUGCGGUUUUGACGUUACCAACAGAAUAAGCACCGGCUAACUUCGUG